This 529-nucleotide ribosomal RNA is filed under the name uncultured bacterium. Its description in RNAcentral is "bacterial SSU rRNA". It matches the Rfam family "Bacterial small subunit ribosomal RNA", at positions 777 to 1304 of the family's 1533-position model. The record is from RNAcentral.
AAUAGAUACCCUGGUAGUCCACGCCGUAAACGAUGAGUGCUAAGUGUUAGAGGGUUUCCGCCCUUUAGUGCUGCAGCUAACGCAUUAAGCACUCCGCCUGGGGAGUACGGCCGCAAGGCUGAAACUCAAAGGAAUUGACGGGGGCCCGCACAAGCGGUGGAGCAUGUGGUUUAAUUCGAAGCAACGCGAAGAACCUUACCAGGUCUUGACAUCCUCUGCUAACCCUAGAGAUAGGGCGUUCCCCUUCGGGGGACAGAGUGACAGGUGGUGCAUGGUUGUCGUCAGCUCGUGUCGUGAGAUGUUGGGUUAAGUCCCGCAACGAGCGCAACCCUUGAUCUUAGUUGCCAGCAUUCAGUUGGGCACUCUAAGGUGACUGCCGGUGACAAACCGGAGGAAGGUGGGGAUGACGUCAAAUCAUCAUGCCCCUUAUGACCUGGGCUACACACGUGCUACAAUGGAUGGUACAAAGAGCUGCGAACCCGCGAGGGUAAGCCAAUCUCAUAAAGCCAUUCUCAGUUCGGAUUGUAGG